UACGAAGGGGGCUAGCGUUGCUCGGAAUCACUGGGCGUAAAGCGCACGUAGGCGGAUCCUUAAGUCAGGGGUGAAAUCCUGGAGCUCAACUCCAGAACUGCCUUCGAUACUGAGGAUCUCGAGUCCGGGAGAGGUGAGUGGAACUGCGAGUGUAGAGGUGAAAUUCGUAGAUAUUCGCAAGAACACCAGUGGCGAAGGCGGCUCACUGGCCCGGUACUGACGCUGAGGUGCGAAAGCGUGGGGAGCAAACAGG
This 253-nucleotide ribosomal RNA is filed under the name uncultured bacterium. RNAcentral describes it as "partial 16S ribosomal RNA". It matches the Rfam family "Bacterial small subunit ribosomal RNA", at positions 524 to 776 of the family's 1533-position model. The record is from RNAcentral.